UCCUCCUGAAGUUAUACCUUGAUAUUGUAGCUAAUCAGAUAGGCUCAGUGGGUCUAAGAGGGGACAAUUGGUUGCUCCACCUGGCAGUAUCAUAGAUGCUGAGGCGGUCGAGUGUGUUGGUGACUCUAGAUUGGCAUGGUUCCUCCUCAGAUCAUCCCUUGAUGUUGUAGCUAAUCAAAUGAGCUCAAUGGGUCUAAGAGGGACAAUUGUUUAUGCUCCGCCAGGCAAUCUCUUCCUCCCUCCCUCUGUCAAACCAAGAAAGUCUAUUUACCUAAAAGCUAUCGAAGGAUUUUUCUGUGAGAUGUGUGGCAGAAUAUGCAAUCGAAAGCCUGAUCAAGAGAAGGCGAUGCCUACAGUUAAUGGCAUUCUCUUGCUAGAGAUGUUCAUGAGAUUUUGCACCACCGAUGACACAUUCAAGGACAAUUUGACGUUCAUAGUCAUGUGGCAGCAUCUUUGCCUCAAUGAGUGCGGGAAAUUACAGACCACAUUCUGCUUCAAGAAAGAGACCAACACAUCUUUAGCAUUGGCUUUCUGAAAGUAUGGCUUAUCUCAAAAGUAUUUGGUCAUGGUAAAUGAUAUUGGAGUCGCUUGUUCCAGUGAAGUGUCUGGAAGAUGGAUGAGCAUCAGCAGAGUUGCAAAUCAGCUGCCAUCGACGUGGGAGAAAUUCUUUGCAUUGGGUUUAUAUGGAUAAGAUGAACUACCACAGGUGGUCUUAUGAUUCGUUAACUUUUCUCUGCUCUGGCUAUGACAUGUUUAGUGUGUUGUUUAUGAGUGCAGACAUACACGAAAAAUGCAUAACCAGAGAGAAAAUCAUUUUUGUAAGAAGAUCAUAGUUGAUUACAAUUCCUCAUCUUUAUUGAUAUUGCACUAGCACAAGGCCUGGGAUGCACAGUCUUGAGCAUUGCUAUCAUGUUUCCAAGUCAAUCUAUUAGUUAUAAAGUUCCUUUGUUGGUGUUGAUACUUUGGAAGUAAAAGAUCAAUCAACUAUGGCCUACGGGAAAUCUUAAGAGGAUUCCUAACUCACAGGAGAGUUCGUGGCUUCUGUAGCUUGACUAGGAAUGGCUCUCCAAUGCCCAUUCCCACUCUGUUGUGCGAAAUAACUGGAGAUCGGUAAUGUUGCAGUAAGGCAAAGUUAAGUCAGUUACAAGCUUCCUGAAUGAGCAAUGUUCCUCUAAUUUCGGGACAAAGACAUGGUACUCUGGAAUCAGAAACUCCUGCUAUGGAUUCUCGCGUAGAAUACUUCACAGGCCACCUUUCCAACUGAUGGAGAACCGUAACUCCGAGCAACUGUCAACGGUCCACAAGAAAAUACUUUCAAUCAUGUUUAACUUGUGUGGUUUUGUUCUCAUCUGCAUCUAAGUGUCUGAAACGAAGUCAAGUUAUUCAUGAGGAGCAUUUUGGACAGGCAAAAAGCAUCUCGAGCAUCCUUGAUAGAUAAACAUUGGUGGACAAACCCAAGCCAAAAUCAGUAGAGGAAGAAUAGAAUAGGGAAGAAAUUGGGCAUGGAAGCAAAUGGGUCAAGACCGAUUCCAAGCGUGAGUGGUUGCAUCAUAAGGAAGUGUAAUUUGACGAACUUUGUAAUCUUGGUGUUACAGCAACUCCUAGCUCACUUGUUCAUCGUGGUGCUGCCACUUACAGUGCGCUGCAUGAAUGUUUUAAUCAAAAGCCGUGUCUUGAUCGGCAGCGACUUUCCUAGGCGA
This is an RNA transcript of Eucalyptus grandis, 1700 nucleotides long. RefSeq lists it as uncharacterized. The transcript has 4 exons. The record is from RefSeq and is a predicted model, not a curated record. NCBI's taxonomy places the organism in Eukaryota, Viridiplantae, Streptophyta, Magnoliopsida, Myrtales, Myrtaceae.